GACGAACGCUGGCGGCGUGCUUAACACAUGCAAGUCGAACGGAAAGGCCCUGCUUUUGUGGGGUGCUCGAGUGGCGAACGGGUGAGUAACACGUGAGUAACCUGCCCUUGACUUUGGGAUAACUUCAGGAAACUGGGGCUAAUACCGGAUAGGAGCUCCUGCUGCAUGGUGGGGGUUGGAAAGUUUCGGCGGUUGGGGAUGGACUCGCGGCUUAUCAGCUUGUUGGUGGGGUAGUGGCUUACCAAGGCUUUGACGGGUAGCCGGCCUGAGAGGGUGACCGGCCACAUUGGGACUGAGAUACGGCCCAGACUCCUACGGGAGGCAGCAGUGGGGAACAUUGCACAAUGGGCGGAAGCCUGAUGCAGCAACGCCGCGUGCGGGAUGACGGCCUUCGGGUUGUAAACCGCUUUCGCCUGUGACGAAGCGUGAAUGACGGUAAUGGGUAAAGAAGCACCGGCUAACUACGUG
This 468-nucleotide ribosomal RNA is filed under the name uncultured bacterium. RNAcentral describes it as "partial 16S ribosomal RNA". It matches the Rfam family "Bacterial small subunit ribosomal RNA", at positions 28 to 507 of the family's 1533-position model. The record is from RNAcentral.